Molecule: small nucleolar RNA, 104 nt
Organism: Exophiala sideris
Lineage: Eukaryota; Fungi; Ascomycota; Eurotiomycetes; Chaetothyriales; Herpotrichiellaceae
Rfam family: A. fumigatus snoRNA Afu_514
Source: Rfam
UCACAUGAUGUUAUAAUUUGCGAUUGAAAUCGACGCUGGAGACCCUCGCCGGGGUCUCUUAACAGCGCCGAAGAGAUGAUAUUCUAUUCUUACAUAUACUGAAC